AGAGUUUGAUCCUGGCUCAGAUUGAACGCUGGCGGCAUGCCUUACACAUGCAAGUCGAACGGCAGCGCGGGAGCAAUCCUGGCGGCGAGUGGCGAACGGGUGAGUAAUACAUCGGAACGUGCCCAAUCGUGGGGGAUAACGCAGCGAAAGCUGUGCUAAUACCGCAUAAGAUCUACGGAUGAAAGCAGGGGAUCGCAAGACCUUGCGCGAAUGGAGCGGCCGAUGGCAGAUUAGGUAGUUGGUGAGGUAAAGGCUCACCAAGCCUUCGAUCUGUAGCUGGUCUGAGAGGACGACCAGCCACACUGGGACUGAGACACGGCCCAGACUCCUACGGGAGGCAGCAGUGGGGAAUUUUGGACAAUGGGCGAAAGCCUGAUCCAGCCAUGCCGCGUGCAGGAUGAAGGCCUUCGGGUUGUAAACUGCUUUUGUACGGAACGAAA
This 440-nucleotide ribosomal RNA is filed under the name uncultured bacterium. Its description in RNAcentral is "bacterial SSU rRNA". It matches the Rfam family "Bacterial small subunit ribosomal RNA", at positions 8 to 450 of the family's 1533-position model. The record is from RNAcentral.